Long non-coding RNA from Bos taurus (domestic cattle), 1473 nucleotides. Lineage: Eukaryota; Metazoa; Chordata; Mammalia; Artiodactyla; Bovidae. The record is from Ensembl.
GUUUAAGAUUGGAUUUAUGCCCAUUUUGAGUAAAUCCUCACCCUCCUUGGUUUAGCUUCGGCUGAUCUCAGUUGGUUCUUGUUAAAACCAAAAUAUCCUCACCUGCAGCCCACGAGGAUUACUUUGCUUCAUCGUUGUAUUCUAACAACCCUGGGAUGUUGGAUUGAUUACUGACGCCAUUUGAGAGAUGAGGAAAUAAAUUCUCAUACAAAUGAAGUGGUUUGUCCUGAGUCAGAGAGUUAGAAAACUUCAGAGGCGAGAUUUGCACCUGUAGUCCUAAGCCAGUGUUGAGGCUGAAGGAGACGGUAUUCCUGGUUAGAUUACAUCAUUACCACAAGAGAGGCUUGAGUUCUGAGGAUGACGGUUUUAUAGCCCGUAGACCCCCACAACUGGAGCCAUCUGGACUUCUGGAAGCCUGUUCAUUCAUUCAGCAAAUACAAUUCAUGAUUACCAUAAGCCUGACCCUAUGCUAGGACUGGUGCUCACUCACUUGCGCAGUUGUGCCGAUUCAUUGCUACCCCAUGGACUGUAGCCCACCAGGCUCCUCUGUUCUUCGGACUUUUUCAGGCAAGAAUACUGGAGUGGAUUGCUAUUUCGUUCUCCAGGGGAUCUUCCUGACCCAGGGAUUGAACCUGCAUCUCUUGCAUUGGCCUGUGGAUUCUUUACCAACUUCACCACCUGGGGGGCUUAUGAUAGAAAGCUAAAUGAUUCAUGAUACCUGCCUCCAGGUCCUGAGAAGACAGGUGUUACAUGAACGCAUUUGCAAAUGUUGAGUGGUUGUGUAUUGAGUUGGACCUUGCACUUUUGUAUUAUAGAGAAGACUUCCUUUCCUGAAACCUCAUGAACCAACCUUUGAUAGCUUCAAGCUUUUCUUCUGUGGCUUGCUUACCUCUCCAGCCUUCAUAAAACUGGAGAGAGUUAGGGCCUUGCUCUGGAUUGCAUGCAUGUGCUGUGCUCAGUCAUGUCUGAAUCUUUACAACCAUGUGGACUGGAGCCCACCAGGCUCCUCUGUCCAAAGGAAUCUUUCCAGGAAAAAAUACUGGAAUGGGUUGCCAUUUCCUUCUCCAAGGGAUCUUCCUGACUCAGGGGUCGGACUCCCGUCUCCUGCAUCUCCUGCGUUGGCUGGCAGAUUCUUUACUACCUGCACCCCCUGGGAAGUCCCUUGCUUGGAGAUUAGGCUUUGUCUUCAGGGAAUGUUCUGGUCGGUUUGCUCUUCUUUCCAGACCACCGAAUAUCAGCAAUAAGGCUUUUUCACUCUUUUGUCAUUGUUAUCAUGCUUAAUUUCCUUCAAGAACUUUCUCUUUACAUUCACAUCUCAGCUGUUUGGUGCAAGAGCCUAGCUUCCUGGCAUUUGAUAUGCCUCCUUCACUAAGCUUAGUCAUUUCCAGCUUUUGAUUUAAAGUGAGAGACAUUCAGCUCUUCCUUCCACUUGAACACUUAGAGGCCAUUGUAGGACUGUUCACUGGCCUGAUU